GAAAUGCGAUAAGUAAUGUGAAUUGCAGAAUUCAGUGAAUCAUCGAAUCUUUGAACGCACCUUGCGCUCCUUGGUAUUCCGAGGAGCAUGCCUGUUUGAGUGUCAUGGAAUUCUCAACUCUAUUUGCUUUUGUGAAUAGAGCUUGGAUUUGGAGGUCUAUUGCUGGUACUUGUGAUCGGCUCCUCUUGAAUGCAUUAGCUCGAACCUUUGCGGAUCAGCUAUCGGUGUGAUAAUUGUCUACGCCGUUGCAGUGAAGCAUAUCAAUGGGCUCGGCUUCCAAUCGUCCUUUACUGGACAAUGACUUUGACCUUUGACCUCAAAUCAGGUAGGAUUACCCGCUGAACUUAAGC
This 350-nucleotide unclassified non-coding RNA is filed under the name plant metagenome. RNAcentral describes it as "partial contains 5.8S ribosomal RNA, internal transcribed spacer 2, and large subunit ribosomal RNA". The stretch from base 1 to 105 matches the Rfam family "5.8S ribosomal RNA", at positions 50 to 154 of the family's 154-position model. The record is from RNAcentral.